CUCUCUGUGUCUCUCUCUCUCUCUCUCUCUCUCUCUCUCUCUCUCUGUGUCUCUCUGUCUCUCUCUCUCUCUC
This is a non-coding RNA of Pangasianodon gigas (Mekong giant catfish), 73 nucleotides long. NCBI's taxonomy places the organism in Eukaryota, Metazoa, Chordata, Actinopteri, Siluriformes, Pangasiidae. The record is from the annotation of a GenBank genome assembly.